GACAGAGGUGCCGAGCGUUAGGCGGAAUCACUGGGCUUAAAGCGUGUGUAGGCGGAUGCCUAAGUACCUUGUGAAAUCCCACGGCUUAACAGUGGAACUGCUUGGUAUACUGGGUGUCUUGAGCCACUUAGGGGCGACCGGAACAAACGGUGGAGCGGUGAAAUGCGUAGAUAUCGUUUGGAACGCCAAUGGUGAAAACAGGUCGCUGGGAGUGUGCUGACGCUGAGACACGAAAGCCAGGGGAGCGAACGGG
RNAcentral lists this ribosomal RNA (253 nucleotides) under uncultured bacterium. Its description in RNAcentral is "partial 16S ribosomal RNA". It matches the Rfam family "Bacterial small subunit ribosomal RNA", at positions 524 to 776 of the family's 1533-position model. The record is from RNAcentral.